This 824-nucleotide small RNA is filed under the name Arabidopsis thaliana (thale cress). Its description in RNAcentral is "ATSL098030". The record is from RNAcentral. Lineage: Eukaryota; Viridiplantae; Streptophyta; Magnoliopsida; Brassicales; Brassicaceae.
UUAUUAAAUAUAUAUAUUUUAUAUAAAUUCAAAAUAAAUAGAGUAUAAGAUCAAAUAAAAGUGAAAGAAGAAUUAUAUAUUUAUGUUUAAAUUAGGUAGAAAUAUUUUAGGAAAUAUGGUUAGUUUAGAGAUAUUGUUUAUAUUAAAUUUGGUAAUUAAAUCAUUAAUUUUCGUUUUUAAUUAUUAGUUUGUAGUUAACUUUUCCAAAAAUUAAUGUUAUCAAAGAUCAGAACAGAAUUAAACAUGUUAUCCAAGAUCCGAACAGAGUUAAACCGGGUUAUACCCACCCAUUGCAGGUUUAAGAUUAUCAAAACUUGCAUCUUAAACACUAUAUAUAUAGAUUCAUUCCACCUUUUUGGAAAUUUAAGAUUAUCAAAACUUGCAUCUUAAACACUAUAUAUAUAGAUUCAUUCCACCUUUUUCUUCUCUAUUACACUAUUACUCUCAUUCUUUACCAAUCAAAACCUAAGGUGAUUUCUAUUUGGGAAUUCUUUAGCUCUCAAACCAGUUCUCACAGUCGUUUUAAGCAGAAGGAAAAUACAUAAUUACCAUCCUCCAAUUCUUUUAAAUUUAAGGCUCAAUGGUGUAGCUUUGAAUCCGCCGUAGAUCACCACAACAUCAUUUGCACAUUUUUGUUAUUUUGUUAAGAAAAAUGGUUGUUUACUUACCUAAAAGCGUAAAUGUAUUUUUGAAAACAUAGUAGCCGUAAACGUUCAUUUAUUAUAAAAAAAAGUUAAGGUAAACCAAUACAAGGUGCAAGUAAAAUUAAUAACCCAAUGAAAAAUGACAAAAUCUCAACAUGGAGACUUGAAACUAGGAUACAU